RNAcentral lists this long non-coding RNA (2110 nucleotides) under Homo sapiens (human). Its description in RNAcentral is "HSALNT0308549". The record is from RNAcentral. Lineage: Eukaryota; Metazoa; Chordata; Mammalia; Primates; Hominidae.
AAAAAUCUUAACCAACUGUGUUCAGCCCUUUUCCCUUUCUGCCCUCUGCCAUGUGAGGUCACAGUGUUCCUCCCUCCUGAGGAUGCAGUGUUCAUGAAAGCAAACACUGGGCCCUCACCAGGCAACAAACCUGCUGGUGCCUUCAUCUUGGACUUCCCAGCCUUCGGAACUAUGGAGCCCGCACUCUCCAGUUCAUCACCACCCCAGCAUCCCUACUCUUGCAUCUAACAGUUUCCGCUAUUUUGCACCACCUGCCUGGCCCUUAUGGGCAACUCAAGGAAGAAAGGAAAGAAGAGAUAGAGGAAAAAUGGAUUCAACAAAUGAAAGUGUUCUUUCUGACUACUGCUGUGUUUACAAACAUUUUAAUCAUCAAAACAUGCUUUAUUUGAUAGAAAGAUCAAAUCUGCCUUUGUAAAACAAGAGACUAUUUUAAUCAUUAAGACAACACACAUGUUUGAUUUGGAGGCGUGUUCUCAUUCAAAACCUUGCAAAAUAUAAUUUCUUCUUGUCUGGGAGAUGGUGUCUUUCUUCGGGGAGAACCUUGAGAGAAAUGUCUAUGAAUGUGUCUGUAGAUUGAGGAUAGGCCAACAAACAUAUUUUGAAAUAUUUUUUCUUUCUUUUAAAAAAAUAGAUACUUUUAAAAGAAAAUGCUUAUUUAAAUUACAUAGCUCUUUUUUUCACUCUCAGUCAUCAUUUGUGGUUUCAGUCAGUACUACAUUUAUUCCCCAGAGCUAGGAUUGCUGUGUUUUUAGAAAGGGAGCCUGUUUGAAGGGACUCUAUACUCUUGCAGUAAUUAAAAUCCUUUUAGGAGUCUUUGACUUUGACUUACUGCUUUGUUUUAAAUUAUUGAAAUUAUUCAACUUCCCCAUUCUAACCCACGGAAGGCUGUUGUUGUUCUCAUUUAUAAUGGCACAAUAUAAGUUUAAAGAUAGCUGUCUCCACAUGAAUGCAUCUGCAAAUCCAUCUCUCUUCUCUCUUCUGCCAUCCAGGUUAAGAAGCUCCACUGCGCUUUGUCCAUUGCAAGUUGAGAAGUGAGGCCCCAGCUGUCACAUACAGUGAGUGAAGAAGCUGAGCUUCCCUCAACGCCUGGGCCUGUAUGAAUUUUUUUUUUUUUUUUUUUUUUGGAGACGGAGUCUCACUUUGUUGCCCAGGCUGGAGUGCAAUGGCACUAUCUCAGGCCACUGCAACCUCUGCCUCCCAGGUUCAAGCGAUUCUUCUGCCUCAGCCUCCUGAGUAGCUGGGAUUACAGAAGUGCACCAUUACAGCUUGCUAAUUUUUGUAUUUUUAGUAGAGAAGGGUUUUCACCAUGUUGGCCAGGUUGGUCUCGAACUCUUGGCCUCAGGUGAUCCGCCCGCACAGCCUCCCAAAGUGUUGGGAUUACAGGCGUGAGCCACUGCGCCCGGCCUUAGGCUCCAUCACAAGAGGGAGCCCCAUUGCUAGUCCCCAUCCUCAAAGCCUCUGCGUGAUGUUGUCUACUGUUACUCUUCACUACCCUGUGGGAGCCAAAGCCCUGGACAUAAGAACAGAAGGCAAUGGUGGCUGAGAGGAAGAACUGACACCUUUGUGCUAUCAGAGCACUUUGCAGAGGAGCUGUUAGUGGCCCUGUAGGAGUCUGCUGGCCAUACAUCUGGGUGUCAAAUCAAGAGAGCAUGAGAAGUUGGACAGGAAAGGUCCAAGGCAAAAUGGUUACUAAAGGCCAUCCCUGAUCCUGACCCUAAAAGAAGAAAAGGCCCUUUGCUCUUGGCAUGCUUUUGCAGGAGUGUCUCAGUCUGUUUGGGCUGCUAUAACAUUGACUGGGUGAUCUGCCUGCCUGGCCUCCCAAAGUGCUGGGGUUACAGGUGUGAGCCGCUGCACCAGGCCUUGAGGUCAGGAGUUCGAGACCAGCCUGGCCAACAUGGUGAAACCUGUCUUUACUAAAAAUACAGAAAUUAGCCAGGCAUGGAGGCGCAUGCCUGUAAUCCCAGCUACUGGGGAGGCUGAGGCAGGAGAAUCGCUUGAACCCAGAAGGUGGAGGUUGCGGUGAGCCCAGAUAGUGCCAUUGCACUCUAGCCUGGCCAACAAGAGUGAAACUCUGUCUCAAAAAAUAAAUAAACAAACAAACAAACAACAA